This 253-nucleotide ribosomal RNA is filed under the name uncultured bacterium. Its description in RNAcentral is "partial 16S ribosomal RNA". It matches the Rfam family "Bacterial small subunit ribosomal RNA", at positions 524 to 776 of the family's 1533-position model. The record is from RNAcentral.
GCCGGAGGGUGCAAUCGUUGUUCGGAAUCACUGGGCGUAAAGCGCGUGUAGGCGGUUUGAUAAGUCGAAUGUGAAGGCCCGAGGCUCAACCUCGGAAGUGCAUUCGAAACUGUCAGGCUUGAGUACGGGAGAGGGAAGUGGAAUUCCUGGUGUAGAGGUGAAAUUCGUAGAUAUCAGGAGGAACACCGGUGGCGAAGGCGGCUUCCUGGACCGAUACUGACGCUGAGACGCGAAAGCGUGGGGAGAAAACAGG